GUGUGCGCUCUCACAUUCUCUUGUUAUAGAUGGUAUUCCACUUACUUUUAUAGAUGGAGUUUUUGUUUAUCUAGUUUUACAUUGUCUCAGACACUGAGUCAGUCAGAACCCUGAUUUGGAACUAGAAAUGCACAUUAUGUUCAUCUAUGUUUUUGAAAAUUUGAAAUCUAAAAUUCUCCCUUAAAUUUCCAGAAUAGAUCAGGGCCCAUCCAAGUGGGGACAGCACACAGAAGCCUGAGAUGACGGGGUUAGAACAGCCUGAGUGGGGCCUGUGGGGCCGGGCGUCCAGCGAGGGUCGUCAGCAUGGUCCAGUCCUGCCGAGAGGUUGGGUUUAAUGGGGACAUGGAAGAGCCCAUUUGGAUUUGGUCUUUUCAUGGUGACAGAUUACCUUCUUCAAAAGAGUGGCUUUGAUGUUAUAAAGCUACAGUCAGGAAAACCGCAUGGUUCGAGUUGAAUGGAGAGUGAACGUUCUGUGUACUGAAGCAUGUACGCUGAGAUUCGAACGCAUACAAGGUUAGAAUCUUCUGAAUGUGGCAUCAUUGCUUAAUGUGCUUCGACAGCUCUCCACUGUUUGGAUGAGCAGUUGAAUUAGGGCCUCACUGCACGCUGUUACGGGCUGAAUUAUGUCUCCCUCAAAAUACAUAUAUUGAAGUCCUAACCCCAGUUCCUCAGGAUGUAACUUUAUGUGGAAAUAAUGUUGCAGAUGUGAUUCAUCAAGAUGAGGUCAUACUGGAGUAGGCUGGGCCCCUUACCCAGUAUGACCGGUGUCCUGUUCCAAGGGAAAAUUUGGACACAAAUAGACAUGGGACAAGAAUACCACAUAAAGAUAAAGGUGGAGAUUGCAGUGAUGCUUCUAUAAGCCCAGGAACGACAAAAAUGCCGGCAACCGCCAGAACUUCCAGGAGAGGCCUGAAAUGGGUUCUCCUUCCAGCCCUCAGGUGGAUCAGACCUGCUCACAUCUUGAUCCUAGACUCCUAUUCUGCAGAACCGUGUGACAAGUUUCUUUUGUUUAACUGACCUAGUUCAUGGCAUUUUGUUAUGGCAGCUAAUAAACAUACACUGAAAUAUUUCUAGGUUGAUUAGCCUGUUACCAAAAAUCAGACCUUAGGAGGAGUAGAAAAAUAUACAGUUGAAUAAUUAAUUAGUCCUCAGAUUAAGGAAUGACACCUUAACUAUUAAAGCAAUAGGUAAAAUCAUAGUGGAAGAUUGCUGGAUUUGACCAUGAAGAAAAUUAAUGCUAUAAAUCAAAUGUUAAACUGUUGAUAAGCUGCAAAAGAAUAUUUGCAAUAUUCGUAUUUGCAAUAUCCUAAAUAAAGAGCUCUUAUAAAUCAAUAAGAAAAGGGUAAAUCUCCUGUCUCUAUUCCUUGAUUUCUUUUUCUCCCAAGAUAUUUUCCUACUCCCAGUUCAUUUACUACUUCCACCAAAAAAACAACUUUUUACACCUUCUCUUCCCCCUUCUAACUUCUCACCUGGUACCCUAGCCUUGAGCUUAGUGGGCAGGACCUGCUAUCCAUGAGAGCCACCUGCCGUGUCUGACACCUGUUUCAUCCAUUCCCUAUCAGCACCCACCUGCCUGCCUUCCCACCCAAACAGGACAACACGUCACUCCAUUCGCAGCUGCGCCCUUUAUCUUCUCUGGGACAUUGAGCCUGCAGUCAUUGUCUUUUCCUUCCUCCAUGGUCAGUUUCAUCCUCAUUCCAGAAUCAUUCCUGCUUGCAUUUGCACCCAUGCCUUGACAUGUCUCAUCUAAGUGAAGCCCUCUCAUAGCCACAUUCCUCUCCAGCCACUGCUUCAUUUUAUGCUGCUUUUCUGCAGACCUCUCAGGACCAGCUGCUGGACUCCGUGUCUCUGCUUCUCAUCUCCUGGUUUCACCCCUGCCCACCCUAGUUGACAUUCUGUUCUACCAGCUGCCCAAAAUGGGUCUCAUCAAGGGGCCUUGUGGCCUGCCUCUGGUCAAGACCAGUGGCAUCUUUGGUGGCAUCUCAGCAACAUUUGACACAGCCUCGAUUCCUAGACACUUGCUUCCCUAAGUGUUUUUGACCCAGCUUGUGAUCUCCUCAUCUCUCUGCUCCUUCAUCCCUUUGCUGUCUCCUGCUCUGCCAGGGUGCUGGGUGUUUGGAGGCCUGCAAGCCUCUGUCCUCAGCCACCCCUACUCUAGCGGCCUUCUUUCAGAGUGACCGCGUCUGGCCCCAUGCCAUCAGAUGCCAUCCCUUUGCUCUUGAUUUGGAUCUAUAACCAGGACAAGUCACUGCUGAGAGGUGCCCUCCACCUUCACUUGGGUCUCUAGUUGCCAUGUAAAAUUGAACACAAAGAAAAUCCGAUCAAAGUACGUUCCACCAAGGCCUCCUUGCCUAACUGAAAGGGACCGUCAUCUGCUCUGUUGCUCUGGCCAGUGAAGAGGAGUGUAUCCUUGAUUCUCCCUUUGGACUCAGCUACAGAUCCAGUCAACUCUCCGUCUCCAGCGCGUCUCACAGCCAGUGCUUCCUGCCCGCUCUGCUGCGCUAUAUCCAGUCCCAGCCUGGGACGACACAGCAGCCUGUCUCCUGCUCACCUCACCCUGCCUUACAUCAUCCACAGCCCAGCAGCUCUUGUGUGAUUUCUGGACAGUCAGUCGAAUCCCGCUGUCCUCCCAUCGCACCUGGCGUUAAAUCCAGGCUCUCCCCUGAGGGGUGCAUGGUCCCGUUCUCCACCCCUUCCCCUGUGGGGACCGUCACUGUGCUCCACCCGCCCUGGCCUACUUGGUCCCUCACGUUUGCCGGCUCACGUGCACCUCUGUGCAUUUCCUCUGUGGCAUCUCCACGCCGAGGGCUCUUCCCUGAGACCUCUCCUUCACUGCCACUUUGUCAUCAUUUGGGUUUCCGUUCAAACAUCUCUUCCUCUGAGGCCUUCUGGGGCUACUUUGAAAAAGGCAGUGCCCGCAGCCAGCUUCCCUCUAACACAGCACUUGCUGUGUCUCUGUGUUGCUCACUGUCGCCCGAGAUUAUCUUGUUUGGUAACAUGUUUCUCUGUUUUUACCUCUAGAACGCACCCAGCUCCCCCUGGACAGGGACAGGGCCUCUUAUUCACUGCUCUGUCCACACCUCCAAGAACAGAGCCCAGCAUAUCCCAGGCAGGCCUUGUUUUUGCAGAAGUUCCAGGUCCUCUUCUAGGGGGAUGGUGGCCCUUGCUUUGGCAGAGCCAAGAUCAGAACCCAGCUCCCCAACAUGGGUUUCCUAGCCCCAAGUCCUGUGGCCAUUCAGGAGCAGGAAGAGGCAGCUGCCCUUAACAAAUGCAUCCAUCAGGAGCUAGGCUGCUCACCUUGAGUAAAUCUGAGGCCUGGGAGUCAUACCCAGAGUACUUUGUCCUCUCCUAGUGGAGUGGCAGAGCUGAGUAGCGUGCCCCUUGAAAGCAUCAGAGAAAGACCUUGGACACCAUUAGUAGUGUCUCAGUGACCUUGAUGACUUCCAGAAAUAGUUUGCUGGCCUCACAGCACACUGCCCUGAAGAAGGAAAAUUCUGGAAGCCCAGAGGGAGUAGCUGCAGGAGAGACGGGGUCAACUGGAAACUCCCGCGGUGUUCGGUGGGAAGGGGACCUGUGUUCUGCCAUCCUUGGGCUGACAGAGGACUUGGGAUAAGGAUUCCCAAAGACAAAAUUGAGGGUGGGUCUUCUUUACCGCCUUGGGUCAAGGCUCUGCCGCCUUUUCCCUCACAAAUUAAGGCAGUGGUUAAAAUUACUGUUUUCAGAUGAGGAUGAUCAUUUUCCUUGAUUUCCAAAUGUUCCUUUUUAAACCUUUUUAAAAACGCUCCAGCAGCCCAGCUUUUAUACCCGCGUGCUGUUCAGUUCCUCCUGUUCCCGUCAGGGUGACAUCCACGCGGCUAAAGCCCGCGGCGUUCUCUGUCUUCCACGUGCUGGGCUUGUAGCAGCGAGGGCCUUCUGUCACUCACUGCUCUCCUUUCCACGGCUCCAUCUGGGUUCCCUCCCUCUUUACUGGCGGUUCCUUCUCAGCCUUCCUUGUCUCUUCCUGUUUUUCCAGUCACUGGGGCUUAGUGUUUCCUUUCUCCUCUCUGCGCUCCCGCCCGGGCCAGCUGCGGCCGUUCCCUCAGCUUUCCACCUUGUCCUUAUGCUCGUUGCUCCCAGGUUUACAUUCCCAUCCAAAUUCUUCCUCAAACCUCAGACUCCUGUUUCCAGCUGCAAUGUGGCACCUCCACGUGGGUGCUUAAAAGACACUGCCAACUCACCAGGUCCAAAGUCAGCAUCUGAUCCUCCCCUCCAGACAUGAUAUCUCCAAAUUCCCAUCUCAGAGUGGCAGAGCAGUCCCCCGUCGGAAUUUCACUCCUCUUUCGAGUUUCACGCCACCUCAGCCUGUGUACCAGAACUGGACAGCGCCUGCCUGUCUCUGCUGCAGGACCCAGGCCUGGGCUUUGCCUUCCUUGCCUGUGUUGUUGUUGAGAGCCUCCUGACUCAGCUGGUCCUCACAUUCUGCCGCCUGGAAGCGAGCAGCAGUCAGCCCAUGGCAUCUUUUGCUGCCUUCGAGGACCCUCUUAGCCAGCAGCCCUUUGCUAACCAUAUUUCCGUUGCCUUCCGCCACAUGGCAGUCUCUGAAUUUUGCUUUUUGUCUGUCUUCCCUACUUGAAUGAAAUUCCAUGAAGUCAAGUGAUUUUAUUCCAGACCCAAAUCCCAGCACCUUGGUUCCUAGCACUGAUGAGGUUCCUAGGGAGCAUCUGCUGAGUGAGUGACAGCGAGGGCACAUCCCCACCCUCCCCAUGCAGCUGGAUCAGAGAUGGCUUGAAGAGGUUCAGCCAGUCUAACUCAAAUCUGAAGACAUUUUUCCAGAUUAUAGAUUACAUGUUAGGUUUAAUGUUUCGUUAAAUUUAGAUUACCACUAAAAAAACAUUUUUUGAAAAAAGAUGUUACUCGUGGAAAUCCCUCUUGUAAUUCUGUAGCACAAAUUAUUUUGAUCUGUUUUUUAGGUUAUAAAAUGUUGUGGUUAGAUACCGUAUCUCUAUAACCAAGGUCUUUAUCUAGACAUUGAUAGAUCCUGAGAUUGUUUUGUUGUUUUGCUGACAUUGUUGUGAUUCUAGUCAGAAGAGAAAAUUGUACUGUUCCUUCCUAAAUGAGCUGUCUUCCAUAGUAGGUAUACUUCAUCUUAUGGUCCACGUUUUCUGCCUCUUCUUAGUUAGUGGUACUUUCAUGGAUACCCACGGUUGCUGACCUUGUGGCCAGGAUGAGUGGAAGAGCCUUGAGCCCGGCUCUGCAGCCGCGUUCCUAUCUGGCCCGACUGGCCUGGCGAGGUGGGAAUGGUGCCCGCAGCAGCAGGACUGGCUAAGCAUAAGUAGGUGAGAUGGAUUCAGUUGUUGAAUCUUUAUACCAGUUGGUUCAAGAGCUACUUCCUUUUAUGGAGAAAAGGGUCUCCAGGAACAUGAAUCCAUUAGAGGCUAGCAUUUUCCCCAAAGAUGUUCAUGUGGAAAUUCUCUUCCCACUUCACCCCCACUCGUCUCUUUCCAAAGAAGUUGGUUCAUUCAGUCAAGGCAUGACAAUUUGCAGACCCUAGAACUACAAACAGGAUUCAGAGUCAGGAGUAAGUUUGCUGUGACUUAUUACCAUCACCUGUGUCCAACCAGGAGACCAAAAAAGGAGAACCUAAUUUAAUUACAAAAGUAACGUUCAUAGUAAAAAAAAAAAAGAAAACAAUCAAAAGUGAAACAAAUGCUGCAAAAAAGUAUCCGGUAAAUGAUGAGAUUCACUUUCUUCUCUGUUUCCAACCCCAGUCUCAUUCUCCAGAGAUGAGCACUAUGGACAGUAUCUUGUGUAUCAUAGUUUCUGUUUUGCCUUCCCAGUUAACAGUAUUUUUGUGAUUAUAUAAUUUCAUUUUAAAGCUUACUUUUUAUGUGCAUUCUUGUGAUUUCCUCUGCAGCUUCAUGUGUUUCACUGCUUGGAGGUGCUGUGAUUGAUUUACCUCAACCCUCUUUUGAUGGACAGCUCUGUCGUUUGCAGUUCUUUCUAAUUAUGAAUAGAGCUGAAAUGAACAUUCUCGUGCAUAGGUCUUUGGUCAUUAAUGGGGAAGUGGAUGAAUAGACAGAUGAAUAGGUUGGUUCCCAGCAGUGUCAUUGCUGGAGCAAAAGUUUUAUGUGUUUAUAAGAAUAUGGGUGGGUGAUAUGGGUGGGUGUAGAAAUUCAUUUUUAUAAAUAAUACCAAGCGCUGUAGAUCACUUAUAAUAUGGUGCGAAGGCUUGUGACUUGGGGGCUGGCCACUGGCUGGGACUCUGCAGUUCCUCGCAGUGUGGCUUUCGACCAGUUCUCUCACUGCCCAGGGCCUCGUACCACUGGGACGAUGGUGACAGUUCCCUGGGUGGUGGGGGGACCGUGUCCAGGCAAUCCAUCACUUUGAUUGGCUGUUUCUGUAGUUUCCAGAAACUCUAGACGAUGUUUACUGAGCCUGUCUGGAGCAAGUGGACAGACCCCAAGAGGUCUGAUACAGCGGCGUUUGCUUUCAGACCUGCCUGGAGACCUCUUGGAGUCUGAGAACUCCGGGCGAUUGGAGGAUGGGGGUAAGAUGUACACAGUCAGUUUCAGAAUGAAGAUGGUACUGGGGGGUGUAGCCCUUUUGUAGUGUUUUAGCGAUUCUGCGCCUGCUGUGUCUCUCAGCUUCUCAAACUUCACUGUUUUCUAAAUUUCCAGUGAAUCUGCCAGUCUUCCUUCACCAACCACUCCACUCAUCCCAUACCCAGCCCCAUCCACCUGUCUGUCAUUGUUCUGUCUGUCUAGCAUGUGCCCCACCCUCCUAGCCUCACCUGCGUGAUUGUGGGGCCUUAGCAGAUAGGACAGCCUGCCCUGCUGGCUGGUGGGUGGUGGCCCAGUGGGCUGUGUAGAAGCUGAUUUCCUGUGCUUGCCAGGAUGGUACUAUGAUCCAGGGCACUGUUGCAUGGCAGGCCUUACAGAGCCUACCUGAGGCUCCCUACUCAAAAAAUCACAGUUAGACCUGUCCUGCUUACUGAAGGGCUCAGGCAAGAGUUUUUCUGUAACGGAGUGACCAUCAGUCAGUGACAGGGUUUGAAAUAAGAAAUGAAGAAGUUGUCCUGAUAAAGACAACCGUUACUGUAAAAGUAGACUGAUUAUAUUACAUGCGUUUCAGGUUGCUGGGGGGCUGCUUUUGGUUGGAGUGACCUGCCAAUACAAGAGGUGGGAAGAAGGCAGUGGGGGCUGGUGCCAUGUCUUUUCCCUAUCUGUGGGCCUGAGCUCGGCCAUUGCAUAGCCACCAAAUAAAGAGCUUGGGCAUGGACAAGGGGAGCCUGUGAUGGCCGGCUUGUGGGACCUCACUGGGCAGGUGCACACACACCUGUAGGGACCCAGUUCCAGUGGCUGGACUCAUGGAACCCCACCUGGACACCUGGGAUAUUUUGUUGAACCAGUUGACCUCCUCAGCGGUGACUGAGCCAAACUGGCCAGGUAUUUUGGAUCUUAAACAUCUGGGAUCAUGAAGACAGCUGUUGAAUGGAAAAGGAACAUAGAUGCUAAUGGUGAAGAUAGCCCUGAAACAAGGGCCCCCAUGCUUUCCACUGUGUGACUUCCCAUUCUGGGGUGACCGUUGCUGUGGGAAAAGACACAGAUGCUGAGUGACGA
This is a long non-coding RNA of Sapajus apella (tufted capuchin), 7598 nucleotides long. RefSeq lists it as uncharacterized. The transcript has 2 exons. Lineage: Eukaryota; Metazoa; Chordata; Mammalia; Primates; Cebidae. The record is from RefSeq and is a predicted model, not a curated record.